AGGUUUUGGAAUCAGUGGAGCUUUCUUUUCUUGAUGUCCCUGUUAUAAAGGAGAAUGAGGGAGGGAGAAUUGUAAACCUUCAACAUAGAAUGCUUACUAUCGGGAAAGCACAUAACACAACUCUAUAUCCCCAAAACAGAAUAUUGCUACAAAAUAUGCGGGCAAAUCAAGAGUUUCUCCCACAUCAGUAGUUUUGGGUCAUAUGGUCCCAUCACAGUCGUCUGUUUAUCACAAGUUAGCAAAACAGAAGACAAGUAAAAUUUGAGCAACUCAGUUUUGAGCCAUCAGAUUGUAUCUUGUUACAUAAUCCAUGCAGAAUUCACUGUCACCACAUUGCUAGAUCAUUUUAAAUUGUAUUCUCUUAGCAACACAAAAACACACAUGGCAUGGGGCCCUUAAAUUCAAGUACAACUCUCUACUUUUCAUAGCAUGCUUGAUCCUGUUUCCACACAAUCAUCAAAUGGAUUGACAAUUUCGUAAAAUUUUGUUAAUGAAGCUCCUUCAGUUUGUGCUUGAAAAUUUGAGUAAUUACAAGCUAUCACAUUAAUUACACUAUUCUUUAAAACAUAGUAGACAGAGGCAGAGAGAAGGAAGGAGAUGACAACAUUGCAUCAAGCAAAACAUAAGUCUGUGAAAUUUCUAUUAAGAUAUAAUCAUCAAAAUUUACAUGUUAUAUUAGCUUAAAACAAACAAAAAAAUAUAUAUAUGAUUGUUAUGACUAAUUGUUAUGAUCAUCCACAAUAAUACAAUUGAAAAACUGGCGAGAAACAAUUUGAUAUUCCAUAAACUCCUGCAACACUACUGUACACCAGGAAAAUGAAAUAAAAAUGUUGCCAAUACAUCAGAUAUCUGAGACAUGAUGAAACUUUUACCUGAAAAACCCUAAGCAGUGCUAAUCGUCUCUGCUUCCGUUUUCUCAUCCAAUAACCAUACACAGCUU
RNAcentral lists this unclassified non-coding RNA (940 nucleotides) under Hevea brasiliensis (rubber tree). Lineage: Eukaryota; Viridiplantae; Streptophyta; Magnoliopsida; Malpighiales; Euphorbiaceae. The record is from RNAcentral.